The submitters of this non-coding RNA (86 nucleotides) gave its source as unclassified sequences. The record is from Rfam.
UAGGGGGUAAGGUCGGCGAUAGCCCCUCCGUCCGAAACGAUGAGGCCCGCGUAAGCGGGGUGGGAUGGAGUAGGAUGGGGCCCCUU